Non-coding RNA from Schistosoma haematobium, 45 nucleotides. The record is from Rfam. NCBI's taxonomy places the organism in Eukaryota, Metazoa, Platyhelminthes, Trematoda, Strigeidida, Schistosomatidae.
AUCCAGCUGAAAAGUCCAAAAUAGGACAACAUGUGCGUCCUGGAU